CUCUGGAAUGAAGUUGGUUCAAUAUAAACAAAGUAGCUCAGAUGUAGUAAAGGACUUUAGCCAUGUUGCUGUAGCUUAGCUUGCUACGUUUCUCCUGGGGGUAGCUUCAGUGUAGUGAAGCUUCAUUUAAUGUAGAGUUAACUGGUAGCUUGGCUCACUACAUUUUCCAAGUGGUUUGUCCAACACUGUAAACACUAGUGUUUUGUUUUUUUAUUAUAAAUACAAUUGUUAAAUAUUUAAAGCAAAACAAAUGCGCACAUUUAGAUGCAUAUAAUUAUUUGCUGCUGAGAGAAACACCUUCUAGGUGCCUUUAUUCUCUGUUAACUUCAUCAUUUAGCCUCAUCUGUCUCUGUGAAAUACAGUCCUUUAUUGAUAUGAAAUUCCCAAGUCAGUUUUAUUAAGUGCAAAAUCACAAACUUGUCUCAAAGCUUUACAAUCUGUACAUCAUGUGGCCUCUCUGUCCUCAGACCCUCUGUUUCUGACAGAAAUUACUCAAUACAAGUUGAAUCUGAUCUGAGAACAGUCUGGAAACAGUUUAGUUGUUCAUGUGUGAAUGCUGGUCAAACUGUUUAUUUAGCGGGACAACAUGCAGAGGACAAUAUUUGACAUCCUGCUCUCAUAUUAGUUGUCUUCUUCUUCAAGUCUUUUUCUGUCAGACAGUGAAAGAAUCCUGGAGACAGUUGACACAGAUGAGUUUCAGCCUGUUUCUCUGUCACACUGACAAACUGAGGAACACUGCUUCAUGUUGAACAGCAGUUAGGACUCAUGUUGGAUAGAAAAUCACUCUGACUGUGUUUCUUCCUCCAGGGUGGACCAUGGUGGAGAGCAGAGGUUAAAACCUGGUCUGAGGAAGUAUCUCUGUGAACUCACACUGGACACAAACACAGCACACAGAAACCUCAAACUGUCUGACAACAACAGGAAGGUGACACAUGUGACAGAGGAGCAGCCAUAUCCUGAUCAUCCAGAGAGAUUUGACUGCUGGUGUCAGCUGCUGUGCAAAACUGGUCUGACUGGUCGCUGUUACUGGGAGGUCGAGUGGAGAGGAGGAGUUUAUAUAUCAGUGAGUUACAGAGGAAUCAGAAGGAGAGGAAAGAGUAAAGACUGUGUGUUUGGAUUGAAUGAUCAGUCCUGGAGUCUGAGCUGCUAUGAUGGUCGUUACUCUGUCUUUCACAAUAACAGAGAAACAGACCUCCCUCUCUCCUCCUCCUCCUCCUCCUCCUCCUCCUCUAACAGAGCAGCAGUGUAUGUGGACUGUCCUGCUGGCUCUCUGUCCUUCUACAGAGUCUCCUCUGACACACUGAUCCACCUCCACACCUUCAACACCACAUUCACUGAACCUCUUUAUCCUGGAUUUACGCUCUGGUUCUAUGGUUUCUCCUCAGUGUCUCUGUGUUCUGUGUAGGAGGGAGACAACUUCCAGUCCUGUGGUUUAAAUGUUGGUGGUGGACGAGGCUUCACUUUGGUUAACAUCUGGUUCACUGAUUGUGCCUUUAAUGUCAGAAAUGUGUUUUCUUAGAAAUGGUGAAAUGAUCUCAGGGCUGAACUUGUUGUGUACAAACUGUGUUGACUCUGAUUUUCACUUUAAUAAAGUUUUCUUGGAGCAGCAUCUAGUAGCUGCUGAUGGCUGCAGAGCUUCUCAUUUAUUUCAAUAAAGGUUUGGAGACAAAAA
Long non-coding RNA from Micropterus dolomieu (smallmouth bass), 1672 nucleotides. RefSeq lists it as uncharacterized. The transcript has 2 exons. Lineage: Eukaryota; Metazoa; Chordata; Actinopteri; Centrarchiformes; Centrarchidae. The record is from RefSeq and is a predicted model, not a curated record.